GACGAACGCUGGCGGCGUGCUUAACACAUGCAAGUCGAGCGGUAAGGCCCUUUCGGGGGUACACGAGCGGCGAACGGGUGAGUAACACGUGGGUGACCUGCCUUUAGCUCUGGGAUAAGCCUGGGAAACUGGGUCUAAUACCGGAUAUGACUCCAUGAUGCAUGUUGUGGGGUGGAAAGCCUUGUGCGGCUGGAGAUGGGCCCGCGGCCUAUCAGCUUGUUGGUGGGGUGANGGCCUACCAAGGCGACGACGGGUAGCCGGCCUGAGAGGGCGACCGGCCACACUGGGACUGAGACACGGCCCAGACUCCUACGGGAGGCAGGCAGUGGGGAAUCUUGCGCAAUGGGCGAAAGCCUGACGCAGCGACGCCGCGUGA
Molecule: ribosomal RNA, 376 nt
Filed under: uncultured bacterium
Lineage: Bacteria
Description: bacterial SSU rRNA
Rfam family: Bacterial small subunit ribosomal RNA
Source: RNAcentral